UACGGGGGGGGCUAGCGUUAUUCGGAAUUACUGGGUGUAAAGGGCGCGUAGGCGGCCUAGCAAGUCAGGUGUGAAAUCCCUCGGCUCAACUGAGGAACUGCGCUUGAUACUGCCUGGCUUGAGUACAGGAGAGGUGGGCGGAAUUCCCGGUGUAGCGGUGAAAUGCGUAGAUAUCGGGAAGAACAUCGGUGGCGAAGGCGGCUCACUGGACUGUGACUGACGCUGAGGCGCGAAAGCGUAGGGAG
Molecule: ribosomal RNA, 245 nt
Filed under: uncultured bacterium
Lineage: Bacteria
Description: partial 16S ribosomal RNA
Rfam family: Bacterial small subunit ribosomal RNA
Source: RNAcentral